RNAcentral lists this ribosomal RNA (433 nucleotides) under uncultured bacterium. RNAcentral's name for it is "partial 16S ribosomal RNA". It matches the Rfam family "Bacterial small subunit ribosomal RNA", at positions 28 to 507 of the family's 1533-position model. The record is from RNAcentral.
GAUGAACGCUGGCGGCAUGCCUAACACAUGCAAGUCGAACGAGUCCUUCGGGGUUAUUGGCGCACUGGUGCGUAACGCGUGGGAACCUGCCCUUAGGUUCGGAAUAACUCCCCGGAAGGGGUUCUAAUACCGGAUAAUGUCUUCGUACCAAAGAUUUAUCACCUUUGGAUGGGCCCGCGUUGAAUUAGCUAGUUGGUAGUGUAAAAGACGACCAAGGCGAGAAUCCAUAGCUGGGCUGAGAGGAUGACCAGACACACGGGGACUAAGACACGGCACAGACUCUUACGCGAGGCAGCAGAGGGGAAUGUUGCACAAUGGGGGAAAGGAUGAUCGAUUACUGCUGGGUGAGUGAUGAAGGAUGUAGAGUUGUAAAGCUAUUUUAACCGGGAUGAUAAUGACAGUACCGGAAGAAUAAGCGACGGCUAACUCCGUG